Molecule: ribosomal RNA, 406 nt
Filed under: uncultured bacterium
Lineage: Bacteria
Description: partial 16S ribosomal RNA
Rfam family: Bacterial small subunit ribosomal RNA
Source: RNAcentral
AUUGAACGCUGGUGGCAGGCCUAACACAUGCAAGUCGAACGAGUGGCGGACGGGUGAGUAAUGUCUGGGCAACUGCCUGAUGGAGGGGGAUAACUACUGGAAACGGUAGCUAAUACCGCAUAGCGUAAGAUGUGCCCAGAUGGGCUUAGCUUGGUGGUGGGGUAAAGGCUAACCAAGGCGACGAUCACUAGCUGGUCGGAGAGGAUGACCUGCCACACUGGAACUGAGACACGGUCCAUACUCCUACGGGAGUCAGCAGUGGUGAAUAUUGCACAAUGGGCGCAAGCCUGAGGCAGCCAUGCCGCGUGUAUGAAGAAGGCCUUCGGUUUGUAAAGUACUUUCAGCGGGGAGGCGUUACCCGCAGAAGAAGCACCGGCUAACUCCGUGCCAGCAGCCGCGGUAAUAC